UUACUUUUUUUUUUUUAUUUUCAAAUCAUCAAGACAAAAAUUAGCAAGAUAAUUAGAAAGACAAAGCUUCUCCACAAACAAAACAUUAAAAGACAGUCAAUAAAUAUUUAUUGAUAGUUGCUGUAAAUGUAGAAAUAUAAAAAGAGCUGCUGUACUAAUUACAAAAACAUUAAUUAAUACACAGUAUAAGUUUUGUAAAAGAAGAAAAUCAGGCUCUGAUCAAAUUAAUCAAACUUUAUAUAACAUAAAGAAAGGGAAUUUUGUUUCUCAAAAUAAAUGCUUUAUCAGUGUAUUUUGUGUAUAAUCCAGGAUAAUUGCAAAAAAUAGAAAUAAAAGAAGGCUUUAAUUUCUACAGUAAUACAAAAUUAACUACAAAAUAGAAAGUAUAAAUUUUUUUCACAAAUAUGUAAUAUUUAAAAAAAUGGAAUGUUUUAAAAGCAUUUUAUGAAAUAACAUGCAUUUCAGUUAUAAUCAACAGUACUUUCUAGACUUCAAAGUUAAUUGCAGGAGAUAUUGUUUAUAAACUUUAAAUGCUAGACUGCCAAAAAGAAUUGACCUUUUUAUAUAUAAAUAUAUAUCUAUAAAACAUAGUAUAGAUGGCACUCAACUGAAAGGACAGAAAAAUAUCAACUCCUGGAAGGCAUUGUUUGUUAAAGCUAAGUGCAAAGUUUUGUUGUUGUUUUUUCUCUUUUUUUUACGCAUUGAUUCCCUCAAAAAUAACAGCAUGGAUUAACAUCAAGCAUUCACAAACAGUUAAGCUAUUUCUUGGAAAUUUGUUAAAUAUUGGGUAGACAAAGGAAUUACAUUUCUGUGGCCAACAGUUAACUAGGAUAUUGUGUGGCUAGAACAUCAUUCCUCAAAUUACUUUCAAAAUAAUCAGGUGAAAUCAGAGUUCACCUGCACUCCUGAAUAAAAUGCUAGCCUCCACUAAGACCCUCAUUAAGAGACACAGCACUUUAGCAGUUGACCCAUACCCUCAGAUAUCAUGAUGAUUUAAAAAAAAAAAAAAGCUACAGCAAAUACCACAUGUAAUAAUUAAUGUUAAUCAUCCAAUCCAUAUGUAUUGAAAUGACUAAAACAUGGUGUAUAAAGUAUGCUUUAUAUUGAGUACACAACCAGAAAUAUUAUAGAAAUAAUAUCACAAAAUAUUUAUCCCCCUCUGGUCAC
Molecule: non-coding RNA, 1167 nt
Organism: Biomphalaria pfeifferi
Lineage: Eukaryota; Metazoa; Mollusca; Gastropoda; Planorbidae
Source: the annotation of a GenBank genome assembly